This 943-nucleotide ribosomal RNA is filed under the name uncultured Streptococcus sp. Its description in RNAcentral is "bacterial SSU rRNA". It matches the Rfam family "Bacterial small subunit ribosomal RNA", at positions 340 to 1276 of the family's 1533-position model. The record is from RNAcentral. Lineage: Bacteria; Bacillati; Bacillota; Bacilli; Lactobacillales; Streptococcaceae.
UACGGGAGGCAGCAGUAGGGAAUCUUCGGCAAUGGGGGAAACCCUGACCGAGCAACGCCGCGUGAGUGAAGAAGGUUUUCGGAUCGUAAAGCUCUGUUGUAAGAGAAGAAUAGGAGUGAGAGUGGAAAGCUCACUCUCUGACGGUAUCUUACCAGAAAGGGACGGCUAACUACGUGCCAGCAGCCGCGGUAAUACGUAGGUCCCGAGCGUUGUCCGGAUUUAUUGGGCGUAAAGCGAGCGCAGGCGGUUACGUAAGUCUGAAGUAAAAGGCUGUGGCUCAACCAUAGUGCGCUUUGGAAACUGCGGAACUUGAGUGCAGAAGGGGAGAGUGGAAUUCCAUGUGUAGCGGUGAAAUGCGUAGAUAUAUGGAGGAACACCAGUGGCGAAAGCGGCUCUCUGGUCUGUAACUGACGCUGAGGCUCGAAAGCGUGGGGAGCGAACAGGAUUAGAUACCCUGGUAGUCCACGCUGUAAACGAUGAGUGCUAGGUGUUAGGUCCUUUCCGGGGCUUAGUGCCGUCGCUAACGCAUUAAGCACUCCGCCUGGGGAGUACGACCGCAAGGUUGAAACUCAAAGGAAUUGACGGGGGCCCGCACAAGCGGUGGAGCAUGUGGUUUAAUUCGAAGCAACGCGAAGAACCUUACCAGGUCUUGACAUCCCUCUGAUAAGUCUAGAGAUAGAUUCUCUCUUUGGAGCAGAGGUGACAGGUGGUGCAUGGUUGUCGUCAGCUCGUGUCGUGAGAUGUUGGGUUAAGUCCCGCAACGAGCGCAACCCUUAUUGUUAGUUGCCAUCAUUAAGUUGGGAACUCUAACGAGACUGCCGGUAAUAAACCGGAGGGAGGUGGGGAUGACGUCAAAUCAUCAUGCCCCUUAUGACCUGGGCUACACACGUGCUACAAUGGCUGGCACAACGAGUCGCAAGUCGGUGACGACAAGCUAAUCUCU